GCAGCCGCCGCGGUAAUACGAAGGUCCCAAGCGUUGUUCGGAAUCACUGGGCGUAAAGGGAGCGUAGGCGGCGUGGAAAGUCAGAUGUGAAAUCCCGGGGCUCAACCCCGGAACUGCAUCCGAUACUGCCAUGCUUGAGGGUUGGAGAGGUAGCUGGAAUUCUCUGUGUAGCAGUGAAAUGCGUGGAUAUCGAGAGGAACACUCGUGGCGAAGGCGAGCUACUGGACAACAUCUGACGCUGAGGCUCGAAGGCUAGGGUAGCGAAAGGGAUUAGAUACCCCUGUAGUCCCUGUCUCUUAUAC
RNAcentral lists this ribosomal RNA (302 nucleotides) under uncultured bacterium. RNAcentral's name for it is "partial 16S ribosomal RNA". It matches the Rfam family "Bacterial small subunit ribosomal RNA", at positions 508 to 807 of the family's 1533-position model. The record is from RNAcentral.